CAGCAGCUUGCUGGAAUGAAGGAAGAAGCGGGUGGGCCAGGAGUCUGACUGCUGGGCUCACCUUUCCAUGGUAUCAAUAUCUGACACACUCCCAUGUCCCAGCGAAUCUGAAGAGGUGCGGAGGAAACAGCAAUGAGGUCAGAGCAGUGCCAGCCCCACUUCCCGGCCCCUUGUAGGAGACUUUCUGGAGCCCCUGCCCCACUCCUCUGGAUCACCGGCAGAGAGAGGGCAGAGCCAGCAGGCAAACGAGUGCACUCUGUCAACUACAAAUUGGCACUUGCCAUGCUGUCUUCCUCUACAAGGAUUAAAUUAUGUGUUGCUGUAGCUGCUGAAUUUCAACAACAGCCUGAAAGGAGGGGAAAUUCAAAUUCCAGAAAGGACAAAGCUCACAUUUAUCCAGACCAGCUAAUGAAGGAAUGCCGGACCAAAUGCUGAGAAUUCACACAGCUUAGGAAGUCAGCCUUGAACCCAGAAGAUCCACAAUUGAGCCCGGAAAGAGCUUUUUUACCCCAUCAAUCACUUCUUGGUUUUUACAAACCCCUUCAGCUAUGCAUGCCCACCAGUGAUUUUAUCCUUAAUAGACAUAUUCUUGGCACUCACUUCUCCCUUCUUAAACCAUCACCACCGAGACCCCUCUGCAUGUGGCUGGUCAUGUAUUUAGGUCUGCAGACCUUUGGGGCUUGGCUGAAUCUCACUAAGAAGCAAGGGUAAAAGCCUUGGUAACAUAAGCACCAGGAGACCCUUUGGGUGCUAACCAAUAACACAGCCCCAUGGUGUUCAGGGAAUCUGCGCCCAGGUUGGCAGAGCAACCUGCCUGCCUUGCUCUCCCCAGCUCCGGCCCUGGGGCUAUGCCUGUGGGGCGCCAGCCUCACCCUCUCACUCCCUUCUGGUCCCUGCUGGGCUGAUCCAUCACUUUCCACACCCUGUCGUUGCACACCAGCCUGCUUCCACGUCCAUGGGGAAGAAGCACACUUGGUUCCUGUCCCCUUUCUGACCGUGUGAGUGUGAGGAUGUGCUAAUCACCAAUUCUUGGUGGAUUUCAAUAUCUACAAAUCAUGGGAAGGGCCUCUCGGAUUGGCGGAAAGUGAGGAAGCACGUAGAAAAGGACAUGGCAGCACCUUCAUUUUCCUGCCGCUUCCCCCUUUCCCACGCUUGCCCCCUCCAGGUCAUCCCCAUUUCUCAUCACCAUCUUCAACAGCCUCAGGGAGAGAGGGAGUGACAUUUCCUAAGCACUGUGAUGGGGAUUUGAGGAAGAAACCCACACAUGCAUAGUUUGGCCCUUUCUGCCACGGAUCCUCGGCCUAGCAUCACCAUACACCGCCCGGACCCCUACUCAGCCAAGGGGAUUGGAGUCAGCAUGCCCAAGGACCAGAAUGUGGACUCCAACUAGUAACAUACCGAGUCCAGACUCUACUGCUUACCGUACAACAGGACGAUCAAUUGAGAUCCGAGUGGCUGGGGACGGAAUAGUGAACGGAAAGGAAUAGGAAAGCCCGCAGACUGAGACGCGGGUGGACGAAGGUUCCUAAGAACUACUUUGGGUCUGUACGCUGGUUUCUUCUAUAGAACAAAGAAAGGGGCAGGUGAGGAGGUGAAUAAAAAAGACCACGUGUUUGUGGCUCAGUUCCUGUGGACUAAAGCCUGCCAGGCUCCUCUAUCCACGGAAAUCUCCAGGCAAGAAACACUGGAGUGGGUUGCCAUCUCCUCCUCCAGGGGGAUCUUCCCCAACCUGGGAGCAAAUCUUCAUUCCCUGCAGCUCCUGUGUUGCAGGCAGAUUCUUUUACUGCCGAGUCACUGGGGAAGCCCCUAAAAAAGGCCAUGUGUGUUUGUUGCUCAGUCAUGUCUGACUCUUUGUGACGCCAUGGACUGUAAUCUGCUAGGCUCCCAGGCAAGACUACUGGAGUGGGUUGCCAUUUCCUUCUCUGAGAAAAAGGCCAUAAGUUGUUGCAAAUGUUUCCUGGUCUAGUUGUUGGUCUGGUCAGGAGGUUUCCUGACAGCUAAAAAAAAAUGGGUGUUUUAGCUUAAUGUUCAGACCAGUGAUGCAGGGUUCCAGGAGAUGGACUGUUGUGUAUACUUUAAGCUAUAGGCAACCUCCCUUUAGUGAUUAAUUUGUAGCGACCUAUAUGGGAAAAGAAUCUAAAAAAGAGUGGAUAUAUGUAUAUGUAUAACUGACUCACUUUGCUGAAAGUAACACAGCAUUGUAAAUCAACUAUACUCCACUAAAAAUUUUUAAACUAAUAAUAAUAAUAGGCCUACACAGAGCCAUUCUACCUUACUCUUGUAUUCUUAGGGGUCGGGUUUGCUGGAGCAGUACUUUCUGGAUAAAACAUUGC
Long non-coding RNA from Capra hircus (goat), 2333 nucleotides. Lineage: Eukaryota; Metazoa; Chordata; Mammalia; Artiodactyla; Bovidae. The record is from Ensembl.